Molecule: ribosomal RNA, 275 nt
Filed under: uncultured bacterium
Lineage: Bacteria
Description: partial 16S ribosomal RNA
Rfam family: Bacterial small subunit ribosomal RNA
Source: RNAcentral
CCUACGGGAGGCUGCAGUCGAGGAUCUUCGGCAAUGGGCGCAAGCCUGACCGAGCGACGCCGCGUGUGCGAUGAAGGCCUUCGGGUUGUAAAGCACUGUCGAGAGGGAGAAAGCCGAAAGGUUGAUCUAUCUCUGGAGGAAGCACGGGCUAAGUUCGUGCCAGCAGCCGCGGUAAGACGAACCGUGCGAACGUUGUUCGGAAUCACUGGGCUUAAAGGGCGCGUAGGCGGGCGGUCAAGUCCGGGGUGAAAGCCUCCAGCUCAACUGGAGAAGUG